Zootoca vivipara (common lizard) is the source of this 2998-nucleotide non-coding RNA. Lineage: Eukaryota; Metazoa; Chordata; Lepidosauria; Squamata; Lacertidae. The record is from RefSeq and is a predicted model, not a curated record.
CCCAUCACCCUGCAUAACUAAGUGUGGACUCCAAAUAAAGCCUCCAUUUUCAGAGGCAGUCUACCUCCGAAUACCAGAGAGGCUCAGAUGACAGAGGAGGGCCCGUUGGCCGAAAGAGGAGCGUGGCCCCAAAGCCGGAUUCUGGUUAGGGAAAUGAACGACCCCACAAAUACAAUAGCAGGUGCAUCCUAUAGGAGGACGUCAGCGUUCUUGAAAUGGAAUCAUGCCAACACGCUGAAAAUGCACACAUUUAAGAGGCAAGGAGAGGCUGCUUUCUUCCGAGAAACAUCCUUCCUUGCUUACCUACCGCAGUGGGACAGCAGGAGACCCCCGUGGGAGACCGGAUUAAUUACUUUGCUUGGGGAACAGAGGAAAAUGCUUUAUACCGAGCCAGGCUGCCGGGGAAGGGAUGUGGCUCAGGGGCAAAGCUUCCCCCUUGCAUGCAGAAGGUUCCAGGUUCAAAUCCCGCCCUCUCCAAGUCGGGCUGGGAGAAAUUCCCUGCCUGAGAGUUGCUGCCAGCCAGUGUAGAGAUUACAGAGAGCUAGGUGCUGCAGCAAUCUGAACCCAGUAAAAGGCUCCUUUAAGAACAUAAGAAGAGACCGCUGGAUCAGGGCAUCGAGACCAGCAUCCUGUUCCCACAGCGGCCACCCAAAUGCCCGUGGGAAGCCCGCAGGCAGGAUUCGAACACAAGAGCCGUCUUUCCUAAAGCGGCUUCUGGCAACUGCAUAGCACCAUGGCUAGUAGCCCUUCCGCUUCCUGGAUUUGUCCAAACCUCUUUAAAAACCAGCCCAUCGCCGUCUCCUGCAGAAGGCAGUUCCACAGUUUAACUCUAAGGACUUUAUUUUACUUGCCCUGAAUCUUCCAGCAGAAUCUGUUUCCCGGAGGCGAUGCGGGGAUUGAACCUGGGACCUUCUGUAUGCGAGGGGAAAGGCCCUGCCACUGAGCUACGCAGGUCUCCCCUCGCCGACCCUCAGCUAUUCCACCACUCGACAUGACGCGAGCACAGGCUUAUGAAAAAAGGAGCAAGCGGCCAGACCUCUCUGCCUCCUUGUCUGCUUCAAUCAUCAAGAAACAGCAGCAGGAGAACUUCAGUUCCACCCCCACCCAGCUUGCCAAGGAUUGAGGAAAGGAUCUGUGCAGUGGAUUCUACAAAAUAAGCCAGUGCAUUGGAGAAGCAGAGUGGUGUAGUGGUUAGAGCAGGGGCCCUCCAGAGGUUGCUAGACCCCAACUCCCGUCAGCUCUGACUUGAGUCGGAGUCUGGCAACAUCUGGAGGCGCAGGUUCUCCACCCCAGUUUACAGGGCCGGGCUGGGAGGAGCCGGAUUAAAUCCCUCACUUGCCCUCGGUGACCCUGAACCUACCUCUUAGGGCUGUUGUGCAAGGAUAAUGUCGAGUUCGGGUUUUGCAAGUGGCCCCGAGCUCCUUGAGGGAGGCUGGGAUUUUAUAAAACGUACAAAGGGAGGACAAGGGGAAGCCUAAACUGUUUAACUUGAGGUGGUGGGGGAUGAAGGUAGGAAAUCUAACAGGGAAAAGAAGAGUUUAAAAUGGCAGUGGAGUUGGCUCAGUUCUGCCAACGCUGUCCCUGCAGUGUUUGCCUCACCCGGAAGAAGGCAGGGUGAGAAUUCUUGCCUGGGGAGGGAGAAAGGGGGAUUGAACAGGGAAACCUGGAGUGGAAAAUCAAUGGGGCUGAGGUGAGCAAGGAGUUUUGUUGAUGGGGAUCUGCAGUGGCCAAAAAUGAUUUACUUGAGGGGGGGGGCAGUUGCUAAAGUGGGGAGGAGAUAAUGGCAAAACCAUUUCUAAACAGGAAUGUGCCGCGUCUCCUUUGUCCUAGGAGCUGGGCUCCCAGCAGCUGUGAACGUUCUCUAUCUCUGCACAUGCCCAGAGGUACUCAUUUUGGGUACUUCCGAGGCUCCAGGAAAAGGUUCUGCGGUCCAUCUCUCAAUCAAGGGAGCAGAGUGUCUGGGACACAGAGGCACCCAGAGCUUCACCCAAAUUUUUACAAUGAUUUGGGCUCACCUCAGAACAGACCGAAAAGAGGGCAUGCGAAGAUUCAUUCAGCCACUACAUUCCCACCUGCCCAAGGAAGGAGCGCGAGGCGGCGCAUGGGGUUCUGCCCCCUCCCCAUUCUGCCCUGACAACAACCCCGAGAGGUAGGCCAGGCUGAGAUCGAGCAACUGGCCCACCCGGUGGGCUCUGUGGCGGAGCGGGGAUUCGAACCCAGUCUCCACGCUCUAACCACUCCACUGUACUGUCAAGGAACCUCUUUGCCUCCUGAGGUGGACGCAGUGCGCCCGGCGAGUCCUACAGGUACGAAAAUCAAAUCCCAGGGCGGCUGCGAUCAUCAGCACCACCGACAAGGCGCCUUAACUCCUUCCUGCCCGCGACACCCCACCCCCCCGCUCCCUCUCCUUGCCAUUAAAAGCAGGCACACAGGAUUUUUCCAAACAGAGAUCGCCCAGCAAAGGACCCACGGGUUGCGGGAUUUCAAGUCCGGACAUCGCUGCCGUCGCCACUGCCGCCAAUAUUUAUAUGCCGCUUAAUAUGCAGAGUCCCCAGGCGGUUUAAUUAAAGUGAAGGGAAACAUACCUACAAGUCGGGAAUGCAAAGAAAUACGUCGGAAGCAACAGAUGAAGCGCUCAGCUAAAUGUCAAGGAACAAUAAGGCAGCGUGAGAGAGGAGAGCCGAGAUUUUUUAAAUCCUUCCCUCUUGUUAUUAUUAGCCGUUCUCUUUUAAAUCAAUUGCCAUUGUUUUUAGAUUGUUUUUUUAAUGUCACUAUAUGCUGAAAUGUUUGAAACAGUUUGCCCUUAGGGUUUUUUUAAUUGCACAUUUUGUUUAUUCGUUUCAUAAAAAAUUAUAUACCACUCGGGGGUGGAAAAAACUUCCAAGUGGUUUGCAAAAGGAAUAAAACAGUAAAAUUAUUGGGGAUUAAAACAACUAUUAAAACACACACACAUUUUUUUUGAACUAGUAAUAAAUCUGGGUAGGCUGAUGGAAAAAAA